Molecule: long non-coding RNA, 150 nt
Organism: Microtus oregoni (creeping vole)
Lineage: Eukaryota; Metazoa; Chordata; Mammalia; Rodentia; Cricetidae
Exons: 3
Source: RefSeq, a predicted model, not a curated record
CAGUGAUUGUAUACAACACAGAUCUCCAAACACCUGGAGGAAGAAGCAGUUACGGGAGAGAGUUAGCUGCGAAUAGCCAAUCUCAGAAUUAGAAUCUGAAAACUAAUUAUUCGAAAUUAGACACAAGUUACCCAAGAGAGAGAAUCCUCC